Non-coding RNA from Pelobates cultripes (western spadefoot toad), 386 nucleotides. Lineage: Eukaryota; Metazoa; Chordata; Amphibia; Anura; Pelobatidae. The record is from the annotation of a GenBank genome assembly.
AUAGCGGACACUUCUUCUGUGCGCUUGUGGUAGGGCUUGAACAUGUUCACGUGGAGCAUGCAUCUGCCCCCUGCCCCGGCGCAUGGGCCGAUCACAUAGGUGGUAUCGCAGAUUUGCUCUACCACCUUGUAUGGGCCUUGCCAGGAGGCCUGCAGCUUGUCAUUCUUGACCGGUCGUAGGAUUAACACCUUCUGCCCGAUCUACAAGUUGCGGUCCCUGGCUUCUCUAUCAUACCAUCUGCGCUGUCGUUGCUGGGCCGCCUGGAGGUUGGUGCGUACGGUCUGGGUCAAAGCCUCCAAGCGUUCCCGGAACUCCAGCACAUAUGGUACAAUAGGGGUGCCAUUAGUUGUUACUUCCCCCUCCCAGUGUUCCCGGAUUAGAUCGAG